AAGACCUUGCACUUUUGGAGCGGCCGAUGUCUGAUUAGCUAGUUGGUGGGGUAAUGGCCUACCAAAGCUUCGAUCAGUAGCUGGUCUGAGAGGACGGCCAGCCACACUGGGACUGAGACACGGCCCAGACUCCUACGGGAGGCAGCAGUGGGGAAUUUUGGACAAUGGGCGCAAGCCUGAUCCAGCCAUGCCGCGUGAGUGAAGAAGGCCUUCGGGUUGUAAAGCUCUUUCAGCCGGGGAGAAAAGGUUGCGACUAAUAAUCGCAAUUCAUGACGGUACCGAAAGAAGAAGCACCGGCUAACUACGUGCCAGCAGCCGCGGUAAUACGUAGGGUGCGAGCGUUAAUCGGAAUUACUGGGCGUAAAGGGUGCGCAGGCGGUUUUGUAAGUCAGAUGUGAAAUCCCCGGGCUUAACCUGGGAACU
RNAcentral lists this ribosomal RNA (423 nucleotides) under uncultured bacterium. RNAcentral's name for it is "bacterial SSU rRNA". It matches the Rfam family "Bacterial small subunit ribosomal RNA", at positions 207 to 622 of the family's 1533-position model. The record is from RNAcentral.